This 253-nucleotide unclassified non-coding RNA is filed under the name uncultured Bradymonadales bacterium. RNAcentral describes it as "contains 16S-23S intergenic spacer region". It matches the Rfam family "Bacterial small subunit ribosomal RNA", at positions 524 to 776 of the family's 1533-position model. The record is from RNAcentral. Lineage: Bacteria; Deltaproteobacteria; Bradymonadales.
UACGGAGGGUGCGAGCGUUGUUCGGAAUGACUGGGCGUAAAGCGCGUGUAGGCGGCGACGCAAGUCAGGUGUGAAAGCCCUGGGCUCAACCCAGGAUGUGCGCCUGAAACUGCGUCGCUUGAGUAUGGGAGAGGGGCGCGGAAUUCCUGGUGUAGGGGUGAAAUCCGUAGAGAUCAGGAGGAACACCCGCGGCGAAGGCGGCGCCCUGGACCACUACUGACGCUGAGACGCGAAAGCGUGGGGAGCAAACAGG